Molecule: ribosomal RNA, 440 nt
Filed under: uncultured bacterium
Lineage: Bacteria
Description: partial 16S ribosomal RNA
Rfam family: Bacterial small subunit ribosomal RNA
Source: RNAcentral
CCUACGGGAGGCAGCAGUGGGGAAUAUUGCACAAUGGGGGAAACCCUGAUGCAGCGACGCCGCGUGAGUGAAGAAGUAUCUCGGUAUGUAAAGCCUUAUCAGCAGGGAAGUUAAUGACGGUACCUGACCAAGAAGCCCCGGCUAACUACGUGCCAGCAGCCGUGGCAAUACGCAGGCUGCAAGCGUUAUCCGGAUUUACUGGGUGUAAAGGGAGCGUAGGCGGCAGCACAAGUCUGGAGUGAAAUUCCGGGGCUUAACCCCGGAACUGCUUUGGAAACUGGGCGGCUAGAGUUCAGGAGGGGUAAGCGGAAUUCCUGGUGUAGCGGUGAAAUGCGUAGAUAUUAGGAAGAACACCGAUGGCGAAGGCGGCUUACUGGACUGUAACUGACGUUGAGGCUCGAAAGCGUGGGGAGCAAACAGGAUUAGAUACCCGGGUAGUC